UCCCUGGUGGUCCAAUGGUUAGCACAUGGCACUUUUACUGCCAGAGUCCACGGUUCAAUCCCUGGAAGGGGAA
RNAcentral lists this transfer RNA (73 nucleotides) under Bos taurus (domestic cattle). It matches the Rfam family "tRNA". From Rfam's summary of the family: Transfer RNA (tRNA) molecules are approximately 80 nucleotides in length. Their secondary structure includes four short double-helical elements and three loops (D, anti-codon, and T loops). Further hydrogen bonds mediate the characteristic L-shaped molecular structure. tRNAs have two regions of fundamental functional importance: the anti-codon, which is responsible for specific mRNA codon recognition, and the 3' end, to which the tRNAs corresponding amino acid is attached (by aminoacyl-tRNA synthetases). tRNAs cope with the degeneracy of the genetic code in two manners: having more than one tRNA (with a specific anti-codon) for a particular amino acid; and 'wobble' base-pairing, i.e. permitting non-standard base-pairing at the 3rd anti-codon position. The record is from Rfam by way of RNAcentral. Lineage: Eukaryota; Metazoa; Chordata; Mammalia; Artiodactyla; Bovidae. RNAcentral also lists the same sequence under 5 other names.